GCACAAGCGGUGGAGCAUGUGGUUAAUUCGACGCAACGCGAAGAACCUUACCAGGGCUUGACAUCCCCUGACCGCGUAUGAAAGUACGUUUUCACCCUCGGGUGACAGGGAGACAGGUGGUGCAUGGUUGUCGUCAGCUCGUGUCGUGAGAUGUUGGGUUAAGUCCCGCAACGAGCGCAACCCCUACGUUUAGUUGCUAACAGGUGAAGCUGAGCACUCUAGACGAACUGCCGUUGACAAAACGGAGGAAGUGGGAUGACGUCAAAUCAUCAUGCCCCUUAUGUUCUGGGCUACACACGUGCUACAAUGGCCGGUACAGACGGAGGCGAAGCCGCGAGGCGGAGCAAAUCCGAAAAAGCCGGUCUCAGUUCGGAUUGCAGGCUGCAAUUCGCCUGCAUGAAGUCGGAAUCGCUAGUAAUCGCAGGUCAGCAUACUGCGGUGAAUACGUUCCCGGGCCUU
Molecule: ribosomal RNA, 459 nt
Filed under: uncultured Pelotomaculum sp.
Lineage: Bacteria; Bacillati; Bacillota; Clostridia; Eubacteriales; Desulfotomaculaceae
Description: bacterial SSU rRNA
Rfam family: Bacterial small subunit ribosomal RNA
Source: RNAcentral